GAGUGUAUCCGACCUUCCUCGUGGCUCUUUCUGUUUCCCGUACAGGGUGGAGGUGACAGCACCCGGCGGGUCAGGCCUGCUCUGUGCUUUCUAUUUUCUGCUCAGUGUGUCUGCAGCUGUUGUUUGUCACUCUGCCUCUCGGGUUCUGGCAGGAGGUCGGUGGGUAAAAGCACGCUGACCUCUCACUUCCACUCAGCCAUGGAGCUUCAGCGUGCAGCACUGGCCACGUUGUUCCUGCUCACACUGCUCUCAUCAGAGUGCAAUGGCAGGAACGAAGAGGAGCGUGUCAUUGAAUACGUAUUUAAAGAGAUGGGAUACAACAAGGAGCUGCGUCCCGUCGAGAAGCAGCAGGAUGUUGUCGAUGUUUACCUCGCCCUCACGCUCUCCAACCUCAUCUCUCUGAAAGAAGUAGAUGAGACGCUGCUGACGAACGUGUGGCUGGAAAUUACGUGGACUGACUACCGGCUGACGUGGAAUUCCACAGAGUUUGGUGGCAUUGAGAUACUCCGACUGCCGCCCAGCAUGGUGUGGCUGCCGGAGAUCGUUCUGGAAAACAAUAAUGAUGCCCAGUUUGAAGUGGCCUACUACAGUAAUGUACUGGUGUAUAGUAAUGGUUUCUGCUACUGGUUGCCACCGGCCAUCUUCCGCUCCUCCUGCUCCAUCAACGUCAGAUAUUUCCCCUUCGACUGGCAGAACUGCACGCUCAAGUUCACCUCUCUGACCUACAAUGCCAAAGAGAUCCGGAUGCUCCUGAAAGAAGAAUACGCCGGAGAAGUCGCCAACUACACAGUAGAGUGGGUCAUUAUUGACCCUGCUAGCUGGACAGAAAACGGCGAGUGGGAGAUCGUCCACCGGCCGGCCAAGAGAAACAUCUACAAGCACAUCCCCAUGGACAGCAACAAGCACCAGGACAUCACCUUCUACCUGGUCAUCAAACGCAAACCUCUAUUCUACAUUGUCAACAUCAUCAUUCCCUGUGUGCUCAUCUCCUUCCUGGCCUGCCUCGUCUACUACCUGCCCGCUGACAGUGGUGAGAAGAUGACCUUGUCCAUCUCUGUGCUGCUCGCUCAGUCUGUCUUCCUGCUGCUGAUCUCUCAAAGGCUGCCAGAAACUUCCAUGUCUGUUCCGCUUAUUGUUAAGUAUUUGAUGUUCAUCAUGGUGCUGGUUACUGUGGUCGUUUUAAACUGUGUGGUCGUCCUCAACCUGCACUUCAGGACGCCGAGCACGCACGUCAUGACUGAGUGGACCAAGAGGUUUUUCCUCGAACGGUUGCCUCGGCUCUUGCUCAUGUCCCACCCUGCGGAGGCAGAGCCAGCGUGGGAGGGAGCGUUGCCGCGACGAUCGAGUUCAGUGGGUUACAUCGCCAAAGCGGACGAGUACUACACCGUCAAGUCUCGCAGCGAGCUGAUGUUUGAGAAACAAUCGGAGAGACACGGCUUCACCACUCGAGUCACCCACGCAGCAUUGGUGAAACCCCAGGAUGAUGGAGGUGUGACGGAUCAGCUGUACUCUGAAAUGAAGCCAGCUGUGGACGGAGCGAACUACAUCAUCAAACACAUGCGCAACAAGAACGAAUACAACGAGGAGAAAGAUAACUGGAGCGGCAUCGCUCGCACCGUGGACCGUCUCUGCCUCUUCCUGAUCACUCCUGUGAUGAUCCUUGGCACCAUCAUCAUCUUCCUGAUGGGAGCCUGCAACAGUCCUCCACGUCUGCCCUUUGAAGGAGACCCGCAUGACUACAUGGAGAACCAUGCACGUCUGCUGUAAACAUGAACAAAAACACCCAACACAGCAGAGAGCGCUGUUACUGUGUUCAUAUCCUGAGUGACACAGAUAUCGAGGUGAGCUGGUGAGGAUAUCCUGCACCUUUCUGUCAGUAAGUGCUGCUGUUAGUCAGCAUUAGUACAACAGUCUGUAAAGUGGAUGUAACUUUGUUGGAUUCUGAGACUUGGAUAAUAAACUCUCAUAUCAUGUGAGAUACUUUACCUUUAAAAAAACUGUUUAAGUGUGAUUUUUAGGACACUUCAGUCCUACAUUACCUGGCAUAAUGUUAGUAACCAGCUCUGCUCAGGAAACGGUUAAACAAGAGCUGGCAGGUCGGUCCAUAAAAUGUUCAAGUAAAAACGUUGCAUUCUCUUGUAUUUUGAUUAGAGUGAAGAUUUAAGAUCGAGUGGAUCCCAUGGGGUUUCCUGAGUUUUAAGCACUCUUGACUUUAGGAUUGAGGGUUAAUCACUGAGAUCAGUGAAGACAGAUACACUGACUCUCUGGAACAUGGUGCAAACUGUCACAUGCACUGCUGUCUGAAAACACAGGGCUGCAUUACAUCCUGCAUCACCUCGAUCAAGCCAGGACGUAGGACAGCAUCAUAAUCUCAGACAUCCACCACCAGAAGCUCACCCAGCUUACUGUGCCUUCCUCCACCUGUCAGUAGAUCACUAUCUUCCUGACGAAGCGCAUCACAUCCCACACAUGGACCAUUAACACCGGCCUCCCACAGGGGUGCACUCUCUCCCUGCUCUUCUCCCUCUACACUAAUGUUACAGCACCUCAGCAGAAUCAUCUGUGAAACCAUCAAGGUUCUGAUCUAGGAUGAUGACGAGGCUGCCUGCAGACAGGAGGUGGACCAGCUGGUGCUGUAAGAACCACCUGGAGCUGAACCCGCUGUGGACUUGGAGAACCUGCCCCCCUCCAUAUUUUUUAAAGCAAAACUUUAAUUUUUUCCACCACACACUUCAAUUUUUACCAGCUAUACC
Oreochromis aureus is the source of this 2753-nucleotide RNA transcript. It is a transcript of the gene named cholinergic receptor, nicotinic, delta (muscle), with no coding region annotated. The transcript is spliced from 13 exons. NCBI's taxonomy places the organism in Eukaryota, Metazoa, Chordata, Actinopteri, Cichliformes, Cichlidae. The record is from RefSeq and is a predicted model, not a curated record.